Molecule: unclassified non-coding RNA, 1150 nt
Filed under: Hermetia illucens (black soldier fly)
Lineage: Eukaryota; Metazoa; Arthropoda; Insecta; Diptera; Stratiomyidae
Description: dNA damage-regulated autophagy modulator protein 1, transcript variant X2
Source: RNAcentral
AAUGUCAACACACUCUGAUUGUAAAAAACGUCAAAGCUGCAUUUCGCUUCCCUUGCAACUUGGUGUACGCGAGUGGGUUUUGCCGCCGCCUGUGCAAAUAUCGCAAAUUGCAAUAUGUCGAGAGUGUAUUUAUUGCCAGUAACUGUGUUCUUGCUGUUCCAAAUAACAUUCAUUUGCACAUAUAUUGCGGCUAUUUUAGAAGGACACGUCGUUCCAGCUGUACCCUACAUUAGCGAUGCUGCCACAUAUUCUCCAGAAAGUUGUGUAUUUGGACAACUCAUCAAUUUGGGAAGCGUUUUAUUGGGUCUCACAAUCUAUGUCCGAUAUCGUCAAGUCCUAGAACUGUUCGGCUACCAUCCAGAUUUGGGGGAACAACUACUCAAAUUGAAUAAAAUAUCCGUUUGGUUCGGCAUAGCUUCGUGUGUUGGCAUUAGUUUUGUGGCAAACUUCCAGGAAACAAAUGUUCGGAUUGUGCACUUUUUCGGGGCAUUUUGUUGCUUUGGUUUUGGCACCUUAUAUUUUUGGAUGCAGUCCCUAAUAUCGUACAUAUUACAACCAAUAGCCGGAACGAAGUUGAAGGCGCAUUUAAGGAUAGCCAUGUCUGUUGCAUGUACGGUUUUGUUUGUUCUCUUAGCUGUUACUGGAGUAAUAUCUCAUAUUCUCUUCAAAGGAACAGAUCCUCGCAAAUGGUACCCAUCGGAUGGUGGUUGGCACUACCACGUUGCGAGCUCAAUAUCAGAAUGGAUUGUCGCAACAAUUUUCAGUUUCUACAUUUUGUCCUUCACUGAUGAAUUUCGUGAUGUUCAUUUGGGUCAUCCGCAAAUGACCCUUUUACCUUAUAGUAUUACGAUUUAAAUCUGAUUUGUCAUCAUUCGUGGAAUUUUUAUAUUUACUGUGAUAUUCUCUUAGAAGCUUUUAAAGAAAGCAUCCUCGCUCUCUGAGAUAGGGAAAAUGAAUUCAGUGGUCCAUUUAAGUUGACGCGUACAUAAGAAAAUAUAAAAGUUUUCUCUAAAGACAGUUUAUGCAACGAAAUGUGUUUAAUUUAGCUUUCGGAAAGUUAUCCUUCACACUUAAUAUUUUGAAAUCUGAAAGAUAUUUUAUUUAUAGUUUAUUGAGAACUUUGAAAUAAAGUGUACAGUUUAUUAUUAUU